GUGAAUCAUCAAAUUUUUGAACGCAAAUUGCACUCUCCUCGGAGAGUAUGCCUGUUUGAGGGCCAGCCUAUAAAAAAUCGACAUCGUUGCUGUUUCGCGGUGGCGUUCGUCGGAAAUUGGGCCAUCUUAAAUCCCUUUAGUUUUUAAGCGACUUAAAAUUUGGUUUUUGGUUCCAUGAACGUUUCUAAGAUUUAUUUCUUUACACGAUUAAGGUAUCGAUUUUUAUUAGACGUGACCAUCAUAUCGGAUCGCGUCCAUAAUCUUUAAUUAACUGACU
RNAcentral lists this unclassified non-coding RNA (277 nucleotides) under Glomeraceae sp. RNAcentral describes it as "partial contains 5.8S ribosomal RNA and internal transcribed spacer 2". The stretch from base 1 to 65 matches the Rfam family "5.8S ribosomal RNA", at positions 84 to 154 of the family's 154-position model. Lineage: Eukaryota; Fungi; Glomeromycota; Glomeromycetes; Glomerales; Glomeraceae. The record is from RNAcentral.